AAGAAAUUAAUUUUACUCGAGACAAAAUAUUAUUUUUCAAAAACCGCGCGCAUUUUUCAGUCAGUCACAUCCGCCCAUCCCCCACAGCUCACAGUCACGGACGGGAUCACAGCCGGACGGCUCGCGACGCGGUCACGGAAAAUAACAGCUAGCAAAGAAGCAAGGAGCUAACAACCAACCACAUCAAAGUUAUCAACGGCAAGUGUUAAAUAUGCAGUGUUAUACACAACAGUUUGUCAGUGAUAAAUUAAGAUUUGUGUGUGUGUGUGUGUGUGUGUGUCUCACAGCUGGACACAGACAAACUGGAGAGACAGCUGACAGGAUGUCGUCAUCUGUAACCGUCACUCGCCACAGUACUCAAGCAAGUGCAAAGGCAGCGAGGGGUCAUUUGCAACAAGACGGCUGAUACUAAUAUGGGCCUAAAAUAAAGGACAAUAAUGGCAUCAGCCAUUCAAGUUAUGAUCCUGGCAGCUCUACUACUAUCUGAAAAGUAGUCUCUGCAGAUAUUGUCAAGAUGCACAAGAUGGAGCGUGGAGAGACGGGAAAACACAGUUUUUCAGCACCCACACCCCACACUCAAAUUCAUAUAGAAGUCCUCAAUUAUUAAAUGUUAAUAUGAUAGUUUAUAUUUAGCUGUAAAGUUAUAGUUCAUUGUCAUAAAUAUUAAACUACAUAUUAUUAUUAUUAUUUUACAUGAUAUGCAAAUUUCACCAAUUUGUUCAAUGUGUUAAUGAACUUUUUGAAAGUGACUAUCUUUAAUAAUUCAGAUACCUGUUGAAAUGCACAUGUAAUUAUAUACUUGCUCGUAUCUGGAAGGUUGUGUUAAUAAAAAUGAUGUUGAAAGCAAAUGUUGCAAUACUGCU
Molecule: long non-coding RNA, 863 nt
Organism: Onychostoma macrolepis
Lineage: Eukaryota; Metazoa; Chordata; Actinopteri; Cypriniformes; Cyprinidae
Exons: 5
Source: RefSeq, a predicted model, not a curated record